Molecule: RNA transcript, 1531 nt
Organism: Lathyrus oleraceus (garden pea)
Lineage: Eukaryota; Viridiplantae; Streptophyta; Magnoliopsida; Fabales; Fabaceae
Exons: 4
Source: RefSeq, a predicted model, not a curated record
CGAACGUUAAAUCGAUCUCACAUCCUCUCUCUCUCUUUGUUAUGUCUUUGUCUAUGUCAUUCUUACCUUAACAUUUCAUUCAUUCUUACAUAAACCAAAACAAAACUCCAUUCUCUCUCUCUCUCUCUCUCUACAAAUUCAACCCAUCUUCAUCUUCAUCUUCAUCAACCACCCAUCACACAAAAACUCCAAACACGACAACCUCAAACACACACAAAAUCAAAAAACAAUUUUUUUUUAUUUUGAAAAUCCAGUGUUGUUUCUUUCAUUUUCUCCCUACACACUGUUUUUGGAACAUUCAUCAUCAUCAUUGAUAAUCAAGUAUGGAACCUGAAAGAUCAAAACCACUCCACAACUUUUCAUUACCACCCAUGAAAUGGGGAACACAACGUCUACUAAGAUGUGUCAACCCCCCCGACCCUUCACCUCUCAAUCGCAAUUCACCCCAAUCCGACCCUAAUCGCAAAAACCACGAAACCGUCGUUCGCGAAAGAAUCAUGGGUGAUCUAACUGUCGCUGCAACAAAACUUCAAGUUUCUAUUUUUGAAGAAAAUGCUGAUGCUCAUGCUUCUCUUGUUGUUGGUGCUUCCAAUGCUUCUGCAAUCAGGCCUUGGAAUUUGAGAACAAGAAGAGCUGCGUGUAAAGCACCGCCUUCUCCUUCGCCGAUACCGCCACCGCCACCUAGGGAUGAAGGAAGAAGGUUUUUUGAUGUUGGGUCUUCUUCACCUUCGCCUGUCAUGAUGAUGAAGAAGAAGAAAACGGUUAUGGUGAAUGAAAAAGUUAAAUUCUCUGUUUCUCUUUCUAAGGAAGAGGUUGAACAAGAUUUUUGGGCUUUGGCUGGGACUAGACCACCCAGAAGGCCCAAGAAGAGGCCCAGAAUUGUUCAGAGACAAUUGAAUACGCUUCUUCCCGGGAUGUGGCUAUCAGAGGUGACUGCAGAGUCAUACAAAGUUUCUGAAGUUCCCGAAUGAGGAGCUGAAAUGAAUGACAAAACCGAAUUCUGGAUGUUCCCAAAUGUUUUUCUUGGUGACUUCCUUCAACAUUGUCUACAUAAAUAAUGGUUUUAGUAAGCAUCUGAGGCGAAAAAGAAACAAAAAUGAGUAAAGCGCGGGAAAAUGUCAAAAGUCGAAAAAUCUCCAAACAAAAUCCAGAGGGCUACUACGGCCACCCGUAGCAGCUACUAUGGGUCGUAGCAGUUAAACCCUAGAUAUGCCCUCAUUUUGAAGUUCCCAUGCAAAAAGCAAAGGCCUCUUACAACCACGUGUAGCAGUUGCUACAGGUCGUAGAAGAGUGGAAUGUCAUCUCUUAAUUUGUUUCCUUUUUUAGACCGAUUUCAUCUAUUUUUGGAAUUUGGCAUGUUUAGAUGUGAUAUUUUCUGAUAUAAUGAUUAUUGAUCAGUGAGAUAUUCAUCCUAGUUUAGACUUUUAUAUAAAACUCACAGUUAGUUGUGAGUUUAGGGAUUCAAGUUUUAUUUUCUAAGAUUUUUACGUAUUUUAUAUUCUCCAUGUACUCAAGUCUCCAUUGGAGCACU